Non-coding RNA from Schizosaccharomyces pombe (fission yeast), 258 nucleotides. Lineage: Eukaryota; Fungi; Ascomycota; Schizosaccharomycetes; Schizosaccharomycetales; Schizosaccharomycetaceae. The record is from the annotation of a GenBank genome assembly.
UGUCUUUCAUCUGCAUGUGAUGUUUCCCUCUCCACAUAAUCUUCCUCUUCAUCGUCGAAAUCAGGAUUUGGAAGUAUACUGCGGCGUUGUUAGUGAAUUUGAGAAAAAAAUAUAAGUUUACCUAGAAAGUUCUUCGGAUAAAAGGGCCAUUUUUGGAAAAUAAUAAACAACUUUCCACUCAGAUGUGUGAAGUGGUGUUGAGUACGAGUUGUAUGGAUAUAAUGGACAUAUGAAUUCUGUUCGAAUGAAUCCAAAAGC